UUACUUUGAAAUGAAAGUCUGCAUUAUCGAUUUGUUCAAUGUGAAGUUACAAGACUGUCUCUAAAGACUUGAUGGUUUACCUUGCGUGCGGAAGUGUUUCCGACCCCUGGUCAACUCUCUUAUUAGUGAAAUAUUGGAGACUGAAAUUUUUUGUAUAAUUAUUUUAAGACACUACAAACUAUAAACUGUUUUAAGGUAACAUUAAUUUUAUGAUGGAAAUGUAUGGAAGUAAAAUAAAAACUGAAAUAUUCUUUCAAUCCCCCCCUCCCCCCCCCCACCACACACAUACAUAUUACUAUUUUGUAAAGUGAUAACUAGAUUAAGCCUUUUGGUGUAAGUAUGUAUCUGUUUUGUACACUGUUUUCGAUAAGUUCUGCUUAUAGUGAUAUAAUAAUUGUAAUAAUUCAAGUAAUUUUGCAUGCACAGUGUUACCACUUGGCUUCAUUUCAUUGUUCUUCAGUAGAUAAAACCACAGAAUAAAAACAGGAAAUGCCAAUGUCUAAAGUACUCCAAUUAUAAAUGACCUUACGCCAAGCAUGUCAAACUUGCGGCCCACCUGCACAGGGGCCGCAUUGUGCUGUGGCUGUGACCUGCCACAAGAUAGGAAAGACCUUUCCUGUCUGCCCUACCACGGCCGAUCAUGUGCUCCGACGGCCGCAAGAGCACUAAGCAUUAGUCCACACCGGCCACCGGAUAUGCGCAUAAAGCAUGUGAAGUCAUAUCCAGCGGCUGCGCUACAGUGUGCAGAGUUGCUGUCUAUUUGCAGAGAAGGCCAGCCACUCCCCUUUCCUUCCUGCUUGCAGAGCCAGAGAAGCAUCUGGCCUGCUUGAGAAGAGCAUGGCUGGAAUUGGAGGAUAAGUGGCUCAUCUUAAGGUAGGGGAAGAGUAGCAGUGUAUUAGAUUAGGGGACGAAUGAGGGCAGUGUAUUAUUUGGGGGAGGGAGGGGCCGCAGUGUAUUAGAUGCUGAUUGGCCGUGUAGUGUUUUGCCACACAUGCGCAAUAGCCUCCCAAUGCUUUUCUAUCGGAAAGCAUUGGAUUGGCUGAGAUAAUCAAGUUUGAUGAUCUCAGCCAAAGUGAAGAACACACUCCUAGAAUUUCAAAAUCAACAAGAUAAUGUCAUUUUGUAUUUGUAACAGCAUGUCUUCACCAUUUCAGUCCCAUUACCAAACUUUUCGUAAUAUGUCGAGGUAGUUGAAUUGAAACAUUGGUUAUAUGCAAAUGCACGUCUCCUUAAAAUAAAUUUGCUUGUUUGUUUACUUCAAAGCCCGACGGGCGUGAGGACAUCCAGUGUCAGGCAAAAAAAUUUUUUUUUAUACUGUACUUUUCAAAAUAAACCUAAGUUUCUAUGAAAACUGAAGUUUUUGUUUUUUUGUGGCCCAUAUUAUUUGGCCACUGUUAUCCUUAGAGUUUGACGUGCUUACCUUACACUAUUUAUCACCUGGUAUAAAGUCACUCGCUUGUUGUAGUGAUAUACAGCUUGUCCUAGUCGUUCAGGUGACAACGUAUAGACCUCCGAGACGGUCCUUUUUAGCCCAUCUCAUAAAACUUAGUAACAGUCUGUCUCCCAGUCAAACCGAAAGGUUUUGUUUAAUUUGAAUAAGGAAAUGCCCAACAUGCCCCAUUGUAAAGUUUGUCAUAUAAAGUACUCUCUCUUACUUCCAUGUCUUAUAUGUAGCAAAAGAACCAUCCAAUCCAAGUCUAACUACCUGUUAGUGGUAAAUUCCCCUAAUACGUGGACAAUUCAUCCUGUCUAAAUUGUUGAUUCCAUAAAUAUACAACGGUUAAUGUCCACUGUUCUUCCUUAAGACACUAAUAAAAUCACAAAAAAAAAGAUUUGAACUUUAUAUGGUUCUUUAGUAUCUAAAAACAAAAAAAAAGCAAACACACGAGCCGCUAGGGCACAAGUUGUGUUACGGAUUGUGUUCCUAUAUGGUGUUCGUAGGACAUCGAAUACGCAUUGAAAGAUGUAAAGGAGGAGGAGUUGCAAAUAGUACAUCAAUAAGCAGCGCUGCAGUGAAACUUUAUUUCAUGUUAUAUGCUGAAUGAUGUCUCUUAAAAUCCCUACUAGACAACGGUUCAUGGGAUAAGCUUGGCUCCCCAGUGAAAAUACGUUUUGACUGACUGAAAUCUGCUAUGUCAUAAUUUGUGUAGAGCUCACAGGAUUUGCAAUACACAGGAUUUUCAGUAUUUAUUUCUUUAAGUAUUUUGUUAAUGUAUUAACUAUGUAGAGACUGUAUUUGUUCACUUGUAUACUGUGAGAUGCUUAAAUAAAGAG
This is a non-coding RNA of Pelobates cultripes (western spadefoot toad), 2274 nucleotides long. The record is from the annotation of a GenBank genome assembly. Lineage: Eukaryota; Metazoa; Chordata; Amphibia; Anura; Pelobatidae.